UGUAGCUCAGAGGUAGAGCUUUCACUUAGCAUGUGAAAGGCCCUGAGUUCCAUCCCCAGCA
RNAcentral lists this transfer RNA (61 nucleotides) under Ictidomys tridecemlineatus (thirteen-lined ground squirrel). RNAcentral's name for it is "Spermophilus tridecemlineatus (thirteen-lined ground squirrel) tRNA". It matches the Rfam family "tRNA", at positions 6 to 65 of the family's 71-position model. From Rfam's summary of the family: Transfer RNA (tRNA) molecules are approximately 80 nucleotides in length. Their secondary structure includes four short double-helical elements and three loops (D, anti-codon, and T loops). Lineage: Eukaryota; Metazoa; Chordata; Mammalia; Rodentia; Sciuridae. The record is from Rfam by way of RNAcentral.